AAAGCAACGUGGGUGAGAGCCGGACAGGACCCUGGUCCUGAAGGAGCAGUGUCUCCCUCCCACCUCGGCUGGCCUCAAGACCCUGGUUCCCAGAAGAGGAAACAGGCUCAGUGCUCACGGGAAGUGCUCAGCGCACAGGAUUCCAACUCAAAUCUGCCGGACACAGAAGGGUAUACCCACAGCCCCUCAUCUGGGAUAGAGCCGAUGGGAAGGGGGCCUUGUACUGCAGAUGGGGACCCCCAGGGACUACUGGGCGACAUGGAGAACAAGGGAAUGCCUAACAAUGUGGAAUUGAAAGAACCAAUGGGGGGAGGGCUGGGGAUAUGGCCUAGUGGCAAGAGAGCUUGCCUC
Perognathus longimembris pacificus (Pacific pocket mouse) is the source of this 351-nucleotide long non-coding RNA. RefSeq lists it as uncharacterized. Lineage: Eukaryota; Metazoa; Chordata; Mammalia; Rodentia; Heteromyidae. The transcript has 3 exons. The record is from RefSeq and is a predicted model, not a curated record.